CCGCAGUCCUUAAAACCCCCCGUGAGCUGCUGCUGUAGCUUCUGGGACAAGAAGGAAUGCAAGAGAAAACCAAGAACUUUCCAAAGCUACAUGUCUUCACAGUGACUAUGAGCUAUUUCACCUCUUGGACAUUG
Small nucleolar RNA from Cyprinus carpio carpio, 134 nucleotides. The record is from Ensembl. NCBI's taxonomy places the organism in Eukaryota, Metazoa, Chordata, Actinopteri, Cypriniformes, Cyprinidae.